This is a long non-coding RNA of Cynoglossus semilaevis (tongue sole), 770 nucleotides long. RefSeq lists it as uncharacterized. Lineage: Eukaryota; Metazoa; Chordata; Actinopteri; Pleuronectiformes; Cynoglossidae. The transcript has 3 exons. The record is from RefSeq and is a predicted model, not a curated record.
GAAAUCGAGCAGUUACAGCAGGAAGUGACAUCAGCAAACACAGAAAAACAAACAGACACCAACCAUGGAUCCAUCACACCCAGACGUCACCCAGCCCCUCUCAUCCACAGCAGUGCAGCAGAGGAUGACUUCAGUGUCUGGGUUUCACCCCUUCGUCCAACAGGGGUCUCCACUUCUCACUGACUGCUGUGCUGAGGAACUGCUGUUGUCCCUGGGGUGAGACUGACCUCCCAGGUGGCUCAAACAACCAUCUACACACAUCCUGAUCCUGGUGAUCAUUGGAUCAGAGCAUGGUUUCCUCCUGUGUUUUACUAUAUGGACUCUGUAUUCAGACGACAAAGACCUGAAUUGUGCCGCAGUCAGUUUGAACUAAAAAAGACUCUGGGAUGAAGAGAAGAAACAUCUUCAAGAAUCCCAGACAGUCCAGCUGACCUCUACUGAACUGCCUUAGAGACCAAGCCUGACUUUAGACUCAUUCUGAAGUUCGUGUGAAGGAAAUAAUGUUUACUUGAGGAAAUAACUCUGGACCUCCACACAGCAGUGACAGGAAUCAAACCCUCCACCACUAUAAUGUAAUAUCAGGUCCUGCAGCAUCACUGUCUCAUCAGCACAUCUGAAAAACCUGACAGAGCGCCACCUAGUCCCACUUCAGAACAUGCUUCCAGCAGAACCUCCAUCACUGAACCACUCACCAGCAUCUCCCUGUACCUGGGGUCAGAUCUCUUGUUUUGCAAAUCCUGCCUUAAAUCGUCGUCCAAAGAACAGUCUCU